This 796-nucleotide ribosomal RNA is filed under the name Nemania cyclobalanopsina. RNAcentral's name for it is "partial large subunit ribosomal RNA". It matches the Rfam family "Eukaryotic large subunit ribosomal RNA", at positions 102 to 921 of the family's 3401-position model. The record is from RNAcentral. Lineage: Eukaryota; Fungi; Ascomycota; Sordariomycetes; Xylariales; Xylariaceae.
CAACAGCUCAAAUUUGAAAUCUGGCUCUCUAGGGCCCGAGUUGUAAUUUGUAGAGGAUGCUUUUGGCGCGGUGCCUUCCGAGUUCCCUGGAACGGGACGCCUUAGAGGGUGAGAGCCCCGUACGGUUGGACACCAAGCCUCUGUAAAGCUCCUUCGACGAGUCGAGUAGUUUGGGAAUGCUGCUCUAAAUGGGAGGUAAAUUUCUUCUAAAGCUAAAUAUUGGCCAGAGACCGAUAGCGCACAAGUAGAGUGAUCGAAAGAUGAAAAGCACUUUGAAAAGAGGGUUAAAUAGCACGUGAAAUUGUUGAAAGGGAAGCGUUUGCGACCAGACCUUUUCCUAGCGGAUCAUCCGGUGUUCUUCGCCGGUGCACUUCGCUAGGUCGAGGCCAGCAUCGGUUUCUGCAGGGGGAUAAAAGCCCAGGGAACGUAGCUCUUUCGGGAGUGUUAUAGCCCUCCGCAUAAUACCCUUGCGGGGACCGAGGACCGCGCUUUUUGCAAGGAUGCUGGCGUAAUGGUCGUCAACGACCCGUCUUGAAACACGGACCAAGGAGUCGAACAUUUGUGCGAGUGUUUGGGUGUUAAACCCUCACGCGUAAUGAAAGUGAACGGAGGUGAGAGCCCUUACGGGUGCAUCAUCGACCGAUCCUGAUGUCUUCGGAUGGAUUUGAGUAAGAGCAUAACUGUUCGGACCCGAAAGAUGGUGAACUAUGCGUGGAUAGGGUGAAGCCAGAGGAAACUCUGGUGGAGGCUCGCAGCGGUUCUGACGUGCAAAUCGAUCGUCAAAUCUGCGCAUGGG